Molecule: ribosomal RNA, 546 nt
Filed under: Triglops scepticus (spectacled sculpin)
Lineage: Eukaryota; Metazoa; Chordata; Actinopteri; Perciformes; Cottidae
Description: partial 16S large subunit ribosomal RNA
Rfam family: Bacterial large subunit ribosomal RNA
Source: RNAcentral
CGCCCAACAGCUAGCCCACCCAAACAAUUUCAACAAACCCUUGUUAAUAACCCCUAAGUACCCCAGUAUUUAAAUUAAACAAACCAUUUUUCCCCCUUAGUAUAGGCGAUAGAAAAGGGACAAACGGCGCAAUAGAGAAAGUACCGCAAGGGAAUGCUGAAAGAGAAGUGAAAUAACCCAGUAAAGCCUAAAAAAGCAGAGAUCUAAACUCGUACCUUUUGCAUCAUGAUUUAGCGAGUGUACCCCAAGCAAAGAGUACUUUAGUUUGACGUCCCGAAACUACGUGAGCUACUCCAAGACAGCCUAUCAAUAGGGCGUACCCGUCUCUGUGGCAAAAGAGUGGGGAGAGCUUUGAGUAGAGGUGACAAACCUACCGAACCUAGUUAUAGCUGGUUGUCCAAGAAAUGAAUAGAAGUUCAGCCUCUUGGCUUCUCUUUUCGCCCUAGUUUAACCCCUAUUGAUGCAUAAAGAAACCGAGAGAGUUAGUCAAAGGGGGUGCAGCCCCUUUGAAUCGAGACACAACUUUCCAGGAGGGUCUUGAUCAUA